UUGAAAGGGAAACGAUUGAAGUCAGUCGUACCGGUGGGUAAUCAGCCUUUCGGCGUGAUUAUGUGGAGCGUGAGGAGUUAAACGCCCUCAUGCCUGCAUAUUCGUGUUCUUUGGGUGUACUUACCCGCAUGGUAGGUUAACAUCAAUUUCGAACGUCAUAAAAUGGUUGGAGGAAUGUAGCUUCGAUCUCGUAUUGAAGUGUUAUAGCCUUCGGCAGAUGUGACGAUCGGGAUUGAGGAUUGCAACGGAUACCCUUCGGGGCUACCCGUCUGAUCUCUGAAAGUUGCUUUGGUGCCGAAAGCUCGCUUACGGUCAACAAAGUUAACGUUUAACAGGUUGGAACGGGAUAAAUUCGUUAAGGAUGUUGACGUA
RNAcentral lists this ribosomal RNA (372 nucleotides) under uncultured Glomeromycotina. RNAcentral describes it as "LSU rRNA". The record is from RNAcentral. Lineage: Eukaryota; Fungi; Glomeromycota.